GACGAACGCUGGCGGCGUGCUUAACACAUGCAAGUCGAACGGAAAGGCCCUGCUUUUGUGGGGUGCUCGAGUGGCGAACGGGUGAGUAACACGUGAGUAACCUGCCCUUGACUUUGGGAUAACUUCAGGAAACUGGGGCUAAUACCGGAUAGGAGCUCCUGCUGCAUGGUGGGGGUUGGAAAGUUUCGGCGGUUGGAGAUGGACUCGCGGCUUAUCAGCUUGUUGGUGGGGUAGUGGCUUACCAAGGCUUUGACGGGUAGCCGGCCUGAGAGGGUGACCGGCCACAUUGGGACUGCGAUACGGCCCAGACUGCUACGGGGGGCAGCAGUGGGGAAUAUUGCACAAUGGGCGGAAGCCUGAUGCAGCAACGCCGCGUGCGGGAUGACGGCCUUCGGGUUGUAAACCGCUUUCGCCUGUGACGAAGCGUGAGUGACGGUAAUGGGUAAAGAAGCACCGGCUAACUACGUG
RNAcentral lists this ribosomal RNA (468 nucleotides) under uncultured bacterium. RNAcentral describes it as "partial 16S ribosomal RNA". It matches the Rfam family "Bacterial small subunit ribosomal RNA", at positions 28 to 507 of the family's 1533-position model. The record is from RNAcentral.